Molecule: ribosomal RNA, 468 nt
Filed under: uncultured bacterium
Lineage: Bacteria
Description: partial 16S ribosomal RNA
Rfam family: Bacterial small subunit ribosomal RNA
Source: RNAcentral
GACGAACGCUGGCGGCGUGCUUAACACAUGCAAGUCGAACGGAAAGGCCCUGCUUUUGUGGGGUGCUCGAGUGGCGAACGGGUGCGUAACACGUGAGUAACCUGCCCUUGACUUUGGGAUAACUUCAGGAAACUGGGGCUAAUACCGGAUCGGAGCUCCUGCUGCAUGGUGGGGGUUGGAACGUCUCGGCGGUUGGGGAUGGAUUCGCGGCUUAUCAGCUUGUUGGUGGGGUAGUGGCUUACCAAGGCUUGGACGGGUAGCCGGCCUGAGAGGGUGACCGGCCACAUUGGGACUGAGAUACGGCCCAGACUCCUACGGGAGGCAGCAGUGGGGAAUAUUGCACAAUGGGCGGAAGCCUGAUGCAGCAACGCCGCGUGCGGGAUGACGGCCUUCUGGUUGUAAACCGCUUUCGCCUGUGACGAAGCGGGAGUGACGGUAAUGGGUAAAGAAGCACCGGCUAACUACGUG